This 190-nucleotide microRNA precursor is filed under the name Oryza brachyantha (malo sina). RNAcentral describes it as "MIR812 microRNA precursor family". It matches the Rfam family "MIR812 microRNA precursor family". Lineage: Eukaryota; Viridiplantae; Streptophyta; Magnoliopsida; Poales; Poaceae. The record is from Rfam by way of RNAcentral.
AAUAAGAUCAUUUUUCAGUUUUUUGAUAAUGUUUUGACUCUUCGUCUUAUUUAAAAUUUUUUUGCGAUUAAUAUUUUUAUUCUUACUAGAUGAUAAAACAUGAAUAGUACUUUAUGCGUGACUAAUUUUUUAAGUUUUUAUACAAAUUUUUUAAAUAAGACGAAUGGUCAAACAUUGGACACGGAAAAAC